GUUGGCAAAAGCAACAACUAGCAGAAGCUGGGCUUGGUGAAAAAAAUAUAACAGUAUAAAUCCGGAUGAAUUCCAGGAAGUACUAUAUGCUAACUUUCCCAAGCUGAGGGAUGCUGGGGGUUUUGAGAUAAUAAUAUGCUUUGGGAGAGGAAGAAAGCUUACCCCAAUUAGGGGGCAUAUUCACCCCUGAAUAUAAAAGAAAAAUCAGGUCAAUGUAGAGUCCAUAUACGACCAAUUCAACAUGCACUAAACAUGGAUUCAGAAAGGGUAAAGAGGCAUAAUAUGAUCAGUUAUCAAUCAAUCAAUCAGUCAAAUUCACCUAUAUAGCGCAAGUAUCCAUUAAAUAAUAUUCAAAGGCGCUCGAGUUUUGUGUGAAUUUGAAACACAUCCUUAAGAAAGUUCUAAUAGAUAAAAUAUAAAUGACAGUUUAUAAAUGAUUAUUAAUACAUCAUUUUUAAUUGUUUACUCUUUUAGGAAACUAAUGAGGACUCUGGAUUGACACAGAAGUGUCCUAAAUGCCAAAAUAACAUUUCAUUCUGUGUUUUAAAGAAACAUUUGGCAAGCUUUGCAAGUAGCAGACCUAGUCCUCCAUCAACAGUAUCCAUACCACCUGAAGAACAGGUUGAAGAAAGUGAUACAUUGUAUGAACCAGACCUCACUCAUAGUCAUACUCCUAAUGACGUUCAUGAAGAGGCGGAUCAAGAAAUUCAGACGUCUACUUGACCGUUUUUGAGCUGAACCGCACUACACUUACCCACCAAGCAGUAUGUGACAUUUGUGUGCAGCUGACAGGGAAGAAUAUAAUAUAUUGUAAAUAAAGUAAUA
This is a long non-coding RNA of Anneissia japonica, 825 nucleotides long. RefSeq lists it as uncharacterized. The transcript is spliced from 4 exons. The record is from RefSeq and is a predicted model, not a curated record. NCBI's taxonomy places the organism in Eukaryota, Metazoa, Echinodermata, Crinoidea, Comatulida, Comatulidae.